This 292-nucleotide ribosomal RNA is filed under the name uncultured bacterium. RNAcentral describes it as "partial 16S ribosomal RNA". The record is from RNAcentral.
GGACUACAAGGGUAUCUAAUCCUGUUUGCUCCCCUAGCUUUCGCGCCUCAGCGUCUGGCUUAGCACAGAAAACCGUCUUCACCACCGGUAUUCUUCCACAUAUCUACGCAUUUCACCGCUACACGUGGAAUUCUGUUUUCCCUUACUAGCCACUAGCCUAUUAGUUUCAAAUGCAGCUCCGGGGUUGAGCCCCGGAAUUUCACAUCUGACUUAAUUGGCCGCCUACGCGCCCUUUACGCCCAGUCAUUCCGAUCAAUGCUUGCACCCUCCGUAUUACCGCGGCUGCUGGCAC